AUGGUGUUAACAACAAACCGUAGCCCUAAUUUCAAACGGUUACUAAAAUUGCAAUCAAUGAUCGAUGCUAUAAAUUGGUUCGAUUAACAUGGAAUACGGGUUGGUUGUGAGGGUCGGAAGAAUUAGGAAAAGAGACGAAAUCGAAGAUCGAAUUAGAAGGUCUGAUUCUGUUCUAAAAUCCGCUCCAACAACGGAAAGGCUUCGGUCGUGAAGUUCGAAUUCGUAACAUCAGUGCGUUUAUGCAUAACGAAAAGGUGCCAUAAACCAUAUCGCACAUCAAAUCGUUUUGUUUUAGAAGCGUAUCGUCGAAUGGAUCUAUAUAUUUUAGAGGGAAAAAGUAAAAACACGGCCACAAAUUUUAUAUAUAAUAGAGAUGUCAGUUGUUUAUAGAAGCAUGCGAACGGUUACUUAUGGUUGAGCGUAGUAGGAACGCAACGGUUGGGCAUGGUAGGAAGUUUGGUUGGUAAAUAUAUAAGGGUAUAAUUGAAGAAUUAUAGUUUCGUCAACUCUUCAUUCUAUCACCAAUUUAAAGAUGGAUCGUACUUACUGGAUGUACCAUACCACACGUACAAGCUCGAUGUUUACGGAUGGCGUUCGAAAUUUUCUUAGGGUUGCCGAAACAAAUCGAUUGAAUAGUGGAAGUGGAUUGAUUUGUUGCCCUUGUACAAUUUGUAAAAAUUUCCAAAGAUUUAACGAUAUCAAAGACAUACAGUUUCAUUUGAAUACACGUGGUUUUAUGCCUAGAUACACAUGUUGGUCAAUGCAUGGGGAAUCACUUACUAACACUAGCACAACGUCAAUCAAUCUAGAUGAUGAUAAUAGGGAGAACAAUGAUUCAAAUAUUGAUGACGAUAAUGACCAUUUUAAUGACCCCAAUGACAACUUAAAUGAAAUGUUUCAUGAUUUAGAGACUAAUAUUGGUGCGGAUGAUCAAGAAAAAUUACAACAA
Molecule: long non-coding RNA, 949 nt
Filed under: Helianthus annuus (common sunflower)
Lineage: Eukaryota; Viridiplantae; Streptophyta; Magnoliopsida; Asterales; Asteraceae
Source: RNAcentral